This 461-nucleotide ribosomal RNA is filed under the name uncultured bacterium. RNAcentral's name for it is "bacterial SSU rRNA". It matches the Rfam family "Bacterial small subunit ribosomal RNA", at positions 32 to 524 of the family's 1533-position model. The record is from RNAcentral.
AAUCAACGCUGGCGGCGUGCCUAACACAUGCAAGUCGAACGAGAAAGUGGAGCAAUCCAUGAGUACAGUGGCGCACGGGUGAGUAACACGUGACUACCUACCCUCGAGUGGGGAAUAACCUCGGGAAACCGGGGCUAACACCGCAUAAUAUCUACGGAUCAAAUGCGAAAGCAGCUUGAGGAGGGGUCGCGGCCGAUUAGCUAGUUGGUGAGGUAAUGGCUCACCAAGGCAAUGAUCGGUAGCCGGCCUGAGAGGGCGCACGGCCACACUGGAACUGAAACACGGUCCAGACUCCUACGGGAGGCAGCAGUGGGGAAUUUUGCGCAAUGGGGGAAACCCUGACGCAGCAACGCCGCGUGGAGGAUGAAGCCCCUUGGGUGUAAACUCCUUUCGAUCGGGACGAUUAUGACGGUACCGGAAGAAGAAGCACCGGCUAACUCUGUGCCAGCCGCCGCGGUAAU